GUUUUUAUAGUUGAAUAACAACGGUGGUUUUUCAGGCCAGAGGUCUUGGUUAAAGUCUAAGUAGAAACU
RNAcentral lists this transfer RNA (69 nucleotides) under Rhinatrema nigrum (black caecilian). RNAcentral describes it as "tRNA-Glu". It matches the Rfam family "tRNA". From Rfam's summary of the family: Transfer RNA (tRNA) molecules are approximately 80 nucleotides in length. Their secondary structure includes four short double-helical elements and three loops (D, anti-codon, and T loops). Lineage: Eukaryota; Metazoa; Chordata; Amphibia; Gymnophiona; Rhinatrematidae. The record is from RNAcentral.